Molecule: ribosomal RNA, 484 nt
Filed under: uncultured bacterium
Lineage: Bacteria
Description: partial 16S ribosomal RNA
Rfam family: Bacterial small subunit ribosomal RNA
Source: RNAcentral
AUUGAACGCUGGCGGCAGGCCUAACACAUGCAAGUCGAGCGGAUGAGGGGAGCUUGCUCCUGGAUUCAGCGGCGGACGGGUGAGUAAUGCCUAGGAAUCUGCCUGGUAGUGGGGGAUAACGUCCGGAAACGGGCGCUAAUACCGCAUACGUCCUGAGGGAGAAAGUGGGGGAUCUUCGGACCUCACGCUAUCAGAUGAGCCUAGGUCGGAUUAGCUAGUUGGUGGGGUAAAGGCCUACCAAGGCGACGAUCCGUAACUGGUGUGAGAGGAUGAUCAGUCACACUGGAACUGAGACACGGUCCAGACUCCUACGGGAGGCAGCAGUGGGGAAUAUUGGACAAUGGGCGAAAGCCUGAUCCAGCCAUGCCGCGUGUGUGAAGAAGGUCUUCGGAUUGUAAAGCACUUUAAGUUGGGAGGAAGGGCAGUAAGUUAAUACCUUGCUGUUUUGACGUUACCAACAGAAUAAGCACCGGCUAACUUCGUG